CUAAGAUAAUUAGAUAUAUUCUCCAAAAUUUGAUUCAAAAAUACCAAAAAAAAAUUAUCAAUUUUGUCAACAAUAUUCUUUGUCUGUCUUGAUUUUUGUGUAUGGAUCAAACAAACCCUUCUUUUUCAAUUUUUGCAUUGAAGCCCAUGCACAGAGGAAAUAAAUACAAGAAAAAAUUUAGUUUUCCCCUUUCCUCGAUU
RNAcentral lists this long non-coding RNA (200 nucleotides) under Carica papaya (papaya). RNAcentral's name for it is "long non-coding RNA (CPAP_LNC016208)". The record is from RNAcentral. Lineage: Eukaryota; Viridiplantae; Streptophyta; Magnoliopsida; Brassicales; Caricaceae.